GCGGGCCGUGAGAGCGGGAGCCCGGAGAUGGGCACUGAGACAAGGGCCCAGGCCCUACGGGGCGCAGCAGUCGCGAAAACUUUGCAAUACACGAAAGUGUGACAAGGCUAUCCCGAGUGCCAUCCGCUGAGGAAGGCUUUUACCCAGUAUAAAUAGCUGGGAGAAUAAGGAGAGGGCAAGUCUGGUGUCAGCCGCCGCGGUAAUACCAGCUCUCCGAGUAGUGUGGAUGUUUAUUGGGCCUAAAGCAUCCGUAGCUUGCUAAGCAAGUCCCCUGUUAAAUCCACCGAUUCAAUCGUUGGAUUGCGGGGGAUACUGUUUGGCUAGGGGA
RNAcentral lists this ribosomal RNA (328 nucleotides) under uncultured crenarchaeote. RNAcentral's name for it is "bacterial SSU rRNA". It matches the Rfam family "Archaeal small subunit ribosomal RNA", at positions 268 to 599 of the family's 1478-position model. The record is from RNAcentral. Lineage: Archaea; Thermoproteati; Thermoproteota.